This is a long non-coding RNA of Herpailurus yagouaroundi (jaguarundi), 447 nucleotides long. RefSeq lists it as uncharacterized. The record is from RefSeq and is a predicted model, not a curated record. NCBI's taxonomy places the organism in Eukaryota, Metazoa, Chordata, Mammalia, Carnivora, Felidae. The transcript has 2 exons.
GGACUUGAAAAUAUACACUGAUAUUGUAAAAGCACUAUUUUACAAUAUCCAACAGGUGUAAACAACUCAAAUAUCCAUUGAGAACAAAAGGCAGUAUAUCCUUACAAUGGAAUAUUAUCCAGCCAUUAAAAAAGUUCCAUUCCGUGCUACAAGGGUAAACCUUGAAAAAUUAUGCUAAGACAAAUAAGCUAGACACAAAAAGUCAAGUAUUGUAUUAUUCUACUUAUAUGAAAUAUCUAGAAUAGGUAUAUUGAUAGAGACAGAAAGUAGGUUAGAUGUUACCAGGAACUGGGGAAGGGACAAUGGGAAGCUAUUGGUUAAUGGGUGAAGAGGGAUUAAGAAUACACUUAUAGUGAUGAGCAUUGAAAUAUGUAUAGGAUUGUUGAAUCAUUUAUUGAACACCUGAAACUAAUAUAACACUGUAUAUUAAUUUUAAGUGAAUUAAAA